Molecule: long non-coding RNA, 763 nt
Organism: Panicum virgatum (switchgrass)
Lineage: Eukaryota; Viridiplantae; Streptophyta; Magnoliopsida; Poales; Poaceae
Exons: 3
Source: RefSeq, a predicted model, not a curated record
GGGUAAUAUAACUGUUUCUGUGCCAUCUAUUAUAACUGUUUCUGUGCCAUCUAUUUAGUUUUGUCCCUCAAUACUUGGUGGUUACUAAUUAGUUUUUUUUUCCUAUGAAUUUCUGGUAGGUUCCAGCUGCUGAAGUAUUCUUAUCUCGUUUGUGACUUGGCUCCAGUUUAAAUAUUCAGGCUAUAGCUUUUACCUCCUCAAGAACUCCUCUCCUCCAGUGUGAACUCGGCAUGCAACACUGAGAAGCUAGCAUCUUCGCUCACAAUUCGAAAUCAGCAACCAAUUACUGUGCUUUCUAAAGCAAAAAAUAGAUGUCAUAUUUGGCUUGGGACUGCCCCGGGUCUGACAAAAAUGAUGGCAAUAAUUUAACUCUUUGACGAUUUCAAAUACUUCUUGCGCUCCCCAAACUGCUUACAAUAUCUCUGUACUCCUUAACAUUUGGGUUACAUUUCCUACUUGAGUGUGAGUCCUCUUUAAUACUUAGGCUACAUAUGCUAUCUGGGCUGUUUUGUACGAACUGACCCGUUACGAUCUUAUUAGGUUACACCUGGAAAAAAUAUAGAAAUUUAUAAAACUUUAACUCUGACCUUCCUUUAUCCAUUUUCCUAUCAGAUCUUAUAAAAUUUACAUACUAUUUUUAAUUUCUCUGCACUUCAAAACAUCUACUACUACCAUAAUAAUUACCAGUAAGAUUACAAAGGAAUUAUGCGCGCGCAACGCGCGCGCAAUCCACUAGUAAAAAUAAAAAAUAAUUGAAAUUUUU